Molecule: long non-coding RNA, 1465 nt
Filed under: Dasypus novemcinctus (nine-banded armadillo)
Lineage: Eukaryota; Metazoa; Chordata; Mammalia; Cingulata; Dasypodidae
Description: lncRNA (ENSDNOG00000050865.1)
Source: RNAcentral
CUCAGGCAGAAGAAGGAAAAGGUGGGGACAAGCAUGUACAAGCCUUUGUGGGCAGCAAACAUCAUGAAUCCUUCUAGUGCCUGGAAGACAGCGACAUUCCACUGUUUCUUAGGGAAGAAGCAUCCCUCCUGCCAAAGGGAGUCAAGAGAUGUAGACGCAUUUAAAUAUAACUGCACUGUCUGCGCGGGUCCCUUAGAAACAACUUUAACGUGGGGUCAAAUACAACUCUCUCACACAAUUGCUUUAUAAAAGAGCUUUUAUCUUUUAUCACACAACAGUGCAUCUUGAAAACAGCAUUUAUGUAGAUAUCUUAGCAGGUUUUAAACAUGCAUUUCAAAGGGUUCUAUCACUAGAAGAAAUGGGAGCAGAGGCCGGGUCCUAGUGGAUUGGGCUGUAAGUGGGUACGCUUUUCAGCUGCUCUGUAGAGACUGGCGUUUCCACCAAAAUAUUUCUGUAGCUCAACACUUACAGUCCCUGUUUCAUCUUCCAAUUUUGCAAAGUAAAACACCUUUCAAUAAGGCAAAUGGUAGAGCUGCAUUUGAUCUUGUUUUUAAAUUUUAAUUAUUUUUUUUGAAAUUUGGAUUCCUCUGUGCAGAUUUUCAAGGCUGGGGGUGGGGGUGGCGGUCUUAAAAUGACUCAAGCUAUAAAAAUGAGUUAAGACUAUUUUAAGCUUUAAAGAUAUAUUACCAUAAUCACUGCUGCUUUAUGUACUAAAUUAAAGAACUCUGGAGUCGGAAAGGACUCUUCAAGGCUGGCUGGUAACAAGCUCCAUGUCCGUGGGGCCGCCUUCCGAUGAACAAAUGGUCCCACUGCCUGACGCCACUGAGGGCCACUCCUCCUCGGCAGGGAACGCCGGUGUCGGGCAGUGCCAUCUGCUUGGAGAGCCUUCCGACGCGCUGAAACCUGCCUCUUUGCCGUCUUCACCCGCAGGUGCCCUUCUGUCCUGACAGGUGAGCACAGCCCCUUGCUCUUCCAAGGACGGCCUGUCGGAAGCGCGAGCGCAGCCUCCGGCCACAACGCUGCGCUUCCCCUCAGCUGAGCAGAACCGCAGCUCGAGCCCUCCUCGCAGGCCCUUCCGGCCUGUGUGGCUCCUCCAGGCCACCUGCAGGAAAUGAAAAAUCUCCUUCGAGCCCAUCUGCUCUGGACGCCAUCCCGACACUCCGGCCGCUCUCCCCUGAGGCCGAACGCCGACCCCACGGAGCCGGUGCCCCCAAGUCCCCGGGUGGCCGCGACCCCUCUCCCCUCCGCACCGAGGCGGCGGGGGCUGAGGCGUGGGCGGCUGCCCGGGAGAUGGCAGAACUGAGGCCUGAAGGGCCCCCCACGCGACGACCAGUCACGGUGGAAGGAGGGGGUGGGCAGGCUGGGACGCCCGGGGGGCGCGGGGUCCUGGCUUGGGCGUGGCUCUCCCACCCGCCGACGAGGCCCCUCCGGCGGCUGCGCCCCCGCGCCGAGCACCCAGCGCCCA